Molecule: ribosomal RNA, 540 nt
Filed under: Klebsiella oxytoca
Lineage: Bacteria; Pseudomonadati; Pseudomonadota; Gammaproteobacteria; Enterobacterales; Enterobacteriaceae
Description: bacterial SSU rRNA
Rfam family: Bacterial small subunit ribosomal RNA
Source: RNAcentral
GAGCGGCGGACGGGUGAGUAAUGUCUGGGAAACUGCCUGAUGGAGGGGGAUAACUACUGGAAACGGUAGCUAAUACCGCAUAACGUCGCAAGACCAAAGUGGGGGACCUUCGGGCCUCAUGCCAUCAGAUGUGCCCAGAUGGGAUUAGCUAGUAGGUGGGGUAACGGCUCACCUAGGCGACGAUCCCUAGCUGGUCUGAGAGGAUGACCAGCCACACUGGAACUGAGACACGGUCCAGACUCCUACGGGAGGCAGCAGUGGGGAAUAUUGCACAAUGGGCGCAAGCCUGAUGCAGCCAUGCCGCGUGUGUGAAGAAGGCCUUCGGGUUGUAAAGCACUUUCAGCGGGGAGGAAGGCGGUGAGGUUAAUAACCUUGUCGAUUGACGUUACCCGCAGAAGAAGCACCGGCUAACUCCGUGCCAGCAGCCGCGGUAAUACGGAGGGUGCAAGCGUUAAUCGGAAUUACUGGGCGUAAAGCGCACGCAGGCGGUCUGUCAAGUCGGAUGUGAAAUCCCCGGGCUCAACCUGGGAACUGCAUUCG